UCUCUGCAUAAUCUUAGCCUCAAGAGCCAGAGAUGUGUCCGUCUGAAGCUCAUUCAAGUAGUUAAUACCUCGAACAUUGGUCCAUGAAACUUGAAACACAAUAAAACCAUAGAGGGUCCUGUGCAACUCAUUGCUUAGAAACAAAGAAUUUCGUAACUUCUUCACAGGUAGCAAGCCUCUUUUACGUGACAAAGUUGCUGCAUCGAUCAAUGAGAACCAUCUUUCAAUCUUCUUUGAUCUAGAAAGAUUGGACUCCGAACAAACUGCCUUUCCCUCUUUUCUCCCCCUCUGAGCCUUAGUGUUUGCAAAAGGAGAUAACCUGGACUUGGUAACCAUCAACUGCCACAAGUGAGCUGUCCGUGAACCAAAAUCCC
RNAcentral lists this unclassified non-coding RNA (374 nucleotides) under Hevea brasiliensis (rubber tree). The record is from RNAcentral. Lineage: Eukaryota; Viridiplantae; Streptophyta; Magnoliopsida; Malpighiales; Euphorbiaceae.